AUUGAACGCUGGCGGCAUGCCUUACACAUGCAAGUCGAACGGUAGAGUAGCAAUACUUGAGAGUGGCGAACGGGUGAGUAAUAUAUCGGAACGUGCCCAGUCGUGGGGGAUAACGUAGAGAAAUUUACGCUAAUACCGCAUACGAUCUAAGGAUGAAAGCGGGGGAUUCGCAAGAACCUCGCGCGAUUGGAGCGGCUGAUAUCAGAUUAGGUUGUUGGUGAGGUAAAAGCUCACCAAGCCGACGAUCUGUAGCUGGUUUGAGAGAACGACCAGCCACACUGGGACUGAGACACGGCCCAGACUCCUACGGGAGGCAGCAGUGGGGGAAGUUUUUUGGACGAAAUAGGGGCGGAAAGACCUGAUCCAGCAAUAGCCGCGUGCAGGAAGAAGGACCUCGGU
This 399-nucleotide ribosomal RNA is filed under the name uncultured bacterium. Its description in RNAcentral is "bacterial SSU rRNA". It matches the Rfam family "Bacterial small subunit ribosomal RNA", at positions 30 to 422 of the family's 1533-position model. The record is from RNAcentral.